CGCCAUUUGGUUAAAGGUAUUACUUUUUCAAGAUAUAUGGCAGCCAAUUACUGCGAACCGUGUACUGCGCGUGGUAUGACUACAACAGCAUCCCAAUGGUGUACCGAAUGUGAAGGAGCCCUAUGUUCCGAUUGUGCAGAGGCGCAUAGAGUUCACAAAAUGUCCAGAAAUCACCAUUUAGUUAAGAUAGGUAAAAUACCAGAACAAAUUAUUUAUCGUAUUAUUGUUCAAAUUAAAGCAUCAACAUUUACCUUUUGACUAUUUUUGUGUUGAUCAUGAUGUUAUUUGUUGUAAGGAAUGUUGGCCAAAAAAUCACCAAACAUGCAAGAACGUCACAUCAAUUGGCAUUGCUUCAAAUAAUUCUAAACAAUCGCAGUCUUUCCUGGAUUCUGAAGAACAGUGGCGUUUUAUUUUAAAGACAUUGGAAACAUUGAGCAAGAAUUGCAAGGAUAAUGGAAGUCUAAUUGAUAAAGAAGAAACCCAAAUUUUGAAACAAAUAAAGACAAUGAAAGAAAAUGUUAUCAAACAGUUGGAAGCUUUAGGAGAGUCGCUUUUAAAACAAUCAACUGAAAAGAAAGACAAAUAUGUAACCAGUUUGAAACGACAGGAUAAAAGUAUAAAGGACUUAUUAAACUCCACAAAAGCUCAAAAGGAAUCAUUGGUAUUCAUUAGAGAUCAUGGUUCUGAAAAACAAGCGUUUGUUUCUAUUUAUUCAUCCAAAAUAAUCUUAGAUGAAAUUGAAAACAAAGUUAAGCAGCUUAUCGAAUCGUUUGCAGACAUCAGUCUUACGUUCGUAGAAAACGGUUCGAAGGAAAAAUUAGCAGAUCUCGGAUCAAUAGAAGUAAAGGAAACACCUCGUUCCUUUCUGUUUGUCCCAUACAAGUAGCGUCAGUCACAGGUUCAAGUGGUUGUCAAGCGCCAGAUCACCUUUUUCACCCAUCUCUACGACAUUGAUAUGAGAGGCGAAAAAUUAAGAAAAGUAACUGGCAUCAUGGUAUCCGACAAUACCACCUUGGUUUUCUGUGAUGUACGCAAAAGAUUUAUUUUUGUGAUGAAAAUGAUAGCUACCAAUCAUUUAUCAGCUCUCCAUAUCAACCAUUGGAUAUAGCAACAAUACCAGGAACAACCACUGCUGUUAUGUCAAGUAGACCUGAACCGUACAUACAGUUCCUAGAUAUCGAAAGACGCAGGAUAUCAAAAAAGGUAGAAGUGGAACAAAGUGGAGGUUAUUGUGUUGCUGCGACAACGGAUAACAUAUUUGUAUGUACUAGAGAUAAUAUACAGGUCCUAGACUUAAAUGGAAAUAAUCAAAGAAAAGUUCGUCUAAAAUGCCGGUUCGGACAGAGCGCUGUUGGAUACAUUUCCGUUUGCUCAAAUGGAAACAUUUGUUAUUCAAGUGAAAAUGCAGUCCAUUGCAUUACAUUAGAUGAGUGUCCUAUUUUUUCCUAUGCUUCAUCCGAUCUUCGUUAUGCAAGAAAUACGAUAACAGAUGAUGCAGGAAAUAUAUACGUUUUGGAUUACGAUUCACAAAUAAUUCAUAAACUUACAUCCACUGGAACUUUAGUAGAGACUUUAUUGAAAGAUAAUUUGUACAGACCCCUUUCGUUUUGUUUCAGUAAGGAAUUAUCUAAAUGUUACAUUGCAAACAAAAUCGGAACAACAAUAUCAGUAUUCAAAACAAAUUAGUAUCACUUUGAGUAUGUUUUUGCACAUAAUUCUUUUGUUAAAGUUUUGAUAAAGUUUGUAAAUAAAAUGAACGACCAAU
Long non-coding RNA from Mytilus californianus (California mussel), 1765 nucleotides. RefSeq lists it as uncharacterized. The record is from RefSeq and is a predicted model, not a curated record. The transcript is spliced from 2 exons. Lineage: Eukaryota; Metazoa; Mollusca; Bivalvia; Mytilida; Mytilidae.